CCAGCACCCGCGGUAAUUCCAGCUCCAAUAGCGUAUAUUAAAGUUGUUGCAGUUAAAAAGCUCGUAGUCUGAAUCUUGGUUGGUGUUGAGCGUCCGUGGCUUCGGUCACGUGCACGUAACACACUGGCCAUAUCCUUCGGAGGAACAUGGGUGCUUUUCAUUAAGUGCUCAUGGGAUUCCGAUAGUUUACUUUGAGAAAAAUAGAGUGUUCAAAGCAGGCCUACGCUUGAAUACAUUAGCAUGGAAUAAUGGAAUAGGACUUUGGUGCUAUUUCGUUGGUUAAUGGGACCGAAGUAAUGAUUAAAAGGGACAGUUGGGGCCGUUUAUAUUUCGUUGUCAGAGGUGAAAUUCUUGGAUUUACGAAAGAUAAACUUCUGCGAAAGCAUUCGGCAAGGAUGUUUUCAUUGAUCAAG
RNAcentral lists this ribosomal RNA (413 nucleotides) under uncultured eukaryote. RNAcentral describes it as "SSU rRNA". It matches the Rfam family "Eukaryotic small subunit ribosomal RNA", at positions 567 to 981 of the family's 1831-position model. The record is from RNAcentral.